RNAcentral lists this long non-coding RNA (456 nucleotides) under Homo sapiens (human). RNAcentral's name for it is "non-protein coding lnc-ZNF711-1:3". The record is from RNAcentral. Lineage: Eukaryota; Metazoa; Chordata; Mammalia; Primates; Hominidae.
CAAACUUCCCUAAAAUCAUGGCUAACCAUUUCUUCUCUUCCCUCAAAAAAUCAAUGUGCAGAAUCUCUGGAGCUCAUCCCUUCAGAGGGCCCUUCCCAGAAGAACUGUAUCUCCACUUCCUCGGUUCUCUGGAAUAAAUUACAACCUUAUGACUCAUGAGUCCAAACAGGACAGUCUUUACGUCUACCCAUCUUAUGACUGAUGUGGCUCUCAAGGAACAAUAAAACCUAAGCAAAUUAUGGGAACAAGCAUUUAUCAACCACGCAAAUGAAGCCAUUCUUUGUAUGUAUUAUGCAUCUCAAUCUCCAUAUAUGGUUAUCAACGUAAUAAUUCAAGUAAAGAGUUUUUCUACACCAGGAGUUCCAAAAUCAAGCUACAUUCAAAGAGAGAAACAACACAUUGGAUACUCAAGUUAUGAACCGUGAGAAGAGUCAGAAAUUCCUUAUAGGAUAGAAC